AACCGUCGCCCCAUAGUCUGGGAUACCACUUGGAAACAGGUGCUAAUACCGGAUAAGAAAGCAGAUCGCAUGAUCAGCUUUUAAAAGGCGGCGUAAGCUGUCGCUAUGGGAUGGCCCCGCGGUGCAUUAGCUAGUUGGUAAGGUAAAGGCUUACCAAGGCGAUGAUGCACAGCCGAGUUGAGAGACUGAUCGGCCACAUUGGGACUGAGACACGGCCCAAACUCCUACGGGAGGCAGCAGCG
This 242-nucleotide ribosomal RNA is filed under the name uncultured Lactobacillus sp. RNAcentral describes it as "partial 16S ribosomal RNA". It matches the Rfam family "Bacterial small subunit ribosomal RNA", at positions 123 to 356 of the family's 1533-position model. The record is from RNAcentral. Lineage: Bacteria; Bacillati; Bacillota; Bacilli; Lactobacillales; Lactobacillaceae.